This 496-nucleotide ribosomal RNA is filed under the name uncultured bacterium. RNAcentral describes it as "partial 16S ribosomal RNA". It matches the Rfam family "Bacterial small subunit ribosomal RNA", at positions 29 to 507 of the family's 1533-position model. The record is from RNAcentral.
AUGCACGCUGGCGGCGUGCCUCAUACAUGCCAGUCGAGCGAACAGACGAGGAGCUUGCUCCUCUGACGUUAGCGGCGGACGGGUGAGUAACACGUGGAUAACCUACCUAUAAGACUGGGAUAACUUCGGGAAACCGGAGCUAAUACCGGAUAAUAUAUUGAACCGCUUGGUUCAAUAGUGAAAGACGGUUUUGCUGUCACUUAUAGAUGGAUCCGCGCCGCAUUAGCUAGUUGGUAAGGUAACGGCUUACCAAGGCAACGAUGCGUAGCCGACCUGAGAGGGUGAUCGGCCACACUGGAACUGAGACACGGUCCAGACUCCUACGGGAGGCAGCAGUAGGGAAUCUUCCGCAAUGGGCGAAAGCCUGACGGAGCAACGCCGCGUGAGUGAUGAAGGUCUUCGGAUCGUAAAACUCUGUUAUUAGGGAAGAACAAAUGUGUAAGUAACUAUGCACGUCUUGACGGUACCUAAUCAGAAAGCCACGGCUAACUACGUG